AAACGCUGGCGGCGUGUCUUAAGCAUGCAAGUCNAGCGGCAGGCGCAGCAAUGCGCUGAGAGCGGCGGACUGGUGAGUAACGCGUGGGUAAUCUACCUUUGGCAUGGGGAUAGCCACUAGAAAUAGUGGGUAAUACCAAAUACGUUCCCUGGGGGGAGGUUUCAGGGAAGAAAGGGUGCUACGGCACCGGCCAAAGAUGAGCUCGCGUCCCAUUAGCUAGUUGGUGAGGUAACGGCCCACCAAGGCGAUGAUGGGUAGCCGGCCUGAGAGGGUGUACGGCCACACUGGGACUGAGAUACGGCCCAGACUCCUACGGGAGGCAGCAGCUAAGAAUAUUCCGCAAUGGACGAAAGUCUGACGGAGCGACGCCGCGUGGAUGAUGAAGGCCGAAAGGUUGUAAAGUCCUUUUGCUGGGGAAGAAUAAGUGUGGGAGGGAAUGCCCGCAUGAUGACAUGAACCGGCGAAUAAGCCCCGGCCAACUACGUGCCAGCAGCCGCGGUAACACGUAGGGGGCGAGCGUUGUUCGGAAUUACUGGGCGUAAAGGGCAUGUAGGCGGUCUGGUAAGCCUGGCGUGAAAGGCCACAGCUCAACUGUGGGAUUGCGUUGGGAACUGCUGGGCUUGAGUUAUGGAGAGGGAGCUAG
RNAcentral lists this ribosomal RNA (643 nucleotides) under uncultured bacterium. RNAcentral's name for it is "bacterial SSU rRNA". It matches the Rfam family "Bacterial small subunit ribosomal RNA", at positions 31 to 664 of the family's 1533-position model. The record is from RNAcentral.